UCGGGAAUUUUGGGCAAUGGGCGAAAGCCUGACCCAGCAACGCCGCGUGAAGGAUGAAGUAUUUCGGUAUGUAAACUUCGAAAGAAUAGGAAGAAUAAAUGACGGUACUAUUUAUAAGGUCCGGCUAACUACGUGCCAGCAGCCGCGGUAAUACGUAGGGACCAAGCGUUGUUCGGAUUUACUGGGCGUAAAGGGCGCGUAGGCGGCAAUUCAAGUCAUCUGUGAAAUCUCCGGGCUUAACUCGGAACGGUCAGAUGAUACUGCUUUGCUAGAGUGCAGAAGGGGCAAUCGGAAUUCUUGGUGUAGCGGUGAAAUGCGUAGAUAUUCGGAAGAACACCAGUGGCGAAGGCGACUGACUGGACAAGUAUUGACGCUGAGGUACGAAAGCGUGGGGAGCAAACAGGAUUAGAUACCCACGUAGUCCCUGAGCGGGCUGGCAAGGCGCAU
RNAcentral lists this ribosomal RNA (447 nucleotides) under uncultured bacterium. RNAcentral's name for it is "bacterial SSU rRNA". It matches the Rfam family "Bacterial small subunit ribosomal RNA", at positions 355 to 825 of the family's 1533-position model. The record is from RNAcentral.